Molecule: ribosomal RNA, 253 nt
Filed under: uncultured bacterium
Lineage: Bacteria
Description: partial 16S ribosomal RNA
Rfam family: Bacterial small subunit ribosomal RNA
Source: RNAcentral
UGCAGAGGGUGCGAGCGUUAAUCGGAAUUACUGGGCGUAAAGCGCGCGUAGGCGGCUUUGCAAGUCGAGUGUGAAAUCCCCAGGCUUAACCUGGGAACUGCAUUCGAGACUGCAUGGCUAGAGUAUGGGAGAGGGAAGUGGAAUUUCAGGUGUAGCGGUGAAAUGCGUAGAUAUCUGAAGGAACAUCAGCGGCGAAAGCGACUUCCUGGACCAAUACUGACGCUCAUGUGCGAAAGCGUGGGGAGCAAACAGG